Molecule: long non-coding RNA, 422 nt
Filed under: Pongo abelii (Sumatran orangutan)
Lineage: Eukaryota; Metazoa; Chordata; Mammalia; Primates; Hominidae
Description: lincRNA
Source: RNAcentral
AAAUAGAGACCAACAUGGCCGGGCAGGAAGAGCAGGGUCCCGCCUUCAGGUGUUUGGGACUCAGCUGAGGGUGUGGGUGCCCCGCGGUGGGGGCUGAACCUUCCUGGGGUGUGGAGAGACGAAAGGAGCCCAGAUCCAAGUUCCCUCGUUCCCGCUUUGGCACAAGUUGCCCUGGCGGUCUCAUGAGAGAGAGAGAGAGCUGGGACCCUCCUCGCCCCAGUGAGUGUGAUGUCUUGCUCCGGGUGUCCUGGGGCAACUUUCUAUAAAGGCGGGACGUGGGAGGAUCAGACAGACAAGGGUGUUGACUCUGCAGCACAGAACCAGUAGUUUGUGGAGAAGAAUGAGGUGUGGUGUUGAAUCUGCUAGACAGGCUACUGAAGCAAAAGUCAAGAGAUCCAGAUCCCAUCAUGGGGACACUUUAG